AUUGAACGCUGGCGGCAUGCCUUACACAUGCAAGUCGAACGGCAGCAUGAUCUAGCUUGCUAGAUUGAUGGCGAGUGGCGAACGGGUGAGUAAUACAUCGGAACGUGCCCUGUAGUGGGGGAUAACUAGUCGAAAGAUUAGCUAAUACCGCAUACGACCUGAGGGUGAAAGUGGGGGACCGCAAGGCCUCAUGCUAUAGGAGCGGCCGAUGUCUGAUUAGCUAGUUGGUGAGGUAAAGGCUCACCAAGGCGACGAUCAGUAGCUGGUCUGAGAGGACGAUCAGCCACACUGGGACUGAGACACGGCCCAGCCUCCUACGGGAGGCAGCAGUGGGGAAUUUUGGACAAUGGGCGAAAGCCUGAUCCAGCAAUGCCGCGUGUGUGCAGAAGGCCUUCGGGUUGUAAAGCACUUUUGUCCGGAAAGAAAUGGCUCUGGUUAAUACCUGGGGUCGAUGACGGUACCGGAAGAAUAAGGACCGGCUAACUACGUG
RNAcentral lists this ribosomal RNA (490 nucleotides) under uncultured bacterium. Its description in RNAcentral is "partial 16S ribosomal RNA". It matches the Rfam family "Bacterial small subunit ribosomal RNA", at positions 30 to 507 of the family's 1533-position model. The record is from RNAcentral.